Molecule: ribosomal RNA, 532 nt
Filed under: Acinetobacter lwoffii
Lineage: Bacteria; Pseudomonadati; Pseudomonadota; Gammaproteobacteria; Moraxellales; Moraxellaceae
Description: bacterial SSU rRNA
Rfam family: Bacterial small subunit ribosomal RNA
Source: RNAcentral
UGCCGCGUGUGUGAAGAAGGCCUUUUGGUUGUAAAGCACUUUAAGCGAGGAGGAGGCUACCGAGAUUAAUACUCUUGGAUAGUGGACGUUACUCGCAGAAUAAGCACCGGCUAACUCUGUGCCAGCAGCCGCGGUAAUACAGAGGGUGCAAGCGUUAAUCGGAUUUACUGGGCGUAAAGCGCGCGUAGGUGGCCAAUUAAGUCAAAUGUGAAAUCCCCGAGCUUAACUUGGGAAUUGCAUUCGAUACUGGUUGGCUAGAGUAUGGGAGAGGAUGGUAGAAUUCCAGGUGUAGCGGUGAAAUGCGUAGAGAUCUGGAGGAAUACCGAUGGCGAAGGCAGCCAUCUGGCCUAAUACUGACACUGAGGUGCGAAAGCAUGGGGAGCAAACAGGAUUAGAUACCCUGGUAGUCCAUGCCGUAAACGAUGUCUACUAGCCGUUGGGGCCUUUGAGGCUUUAGUGGCGCAGCUAACGCGAUAAGUAGACCGCCUGGGGAGUACGGUCGCAAGACUAAAACUCAAAGGAAAUUGACGGA